RNAcentral lists this ribosomal RNA (550 nucleotides) under uncultured bacterium. Its description in RNAcentral is "bacterial SSU rRNA". It matches the Rfam family "Bacterial small subunit ribosomal RNA", at positions 355 to 896 of the family's 1533-position model. The record is from RNAcentral.
UAGGGAAUCUUCCGCAAUGGGCGAAAGCCUGACGGAGCAACGCCGCGUGAGUGAUGAGGGUCUUCGGAUCGUAAAACUCUGUUAUUAGGGAAGAACAAAUGUGUAAGUAACUAUGCACGUCUUGACGGUACCUAAUCAGAAAGCCACGGCUAACUACGUGCCAGCAGCCGCGGUAAUACGUAGGUGGCAAGCGUUAUCCGGAAUUAUUGGGCGUAAAGCGCGCGUAGGCGGUGUUUUAAGUCUGAUGUGAAAGCCCACGGCUCAACCGUGGAGGGUCAUUGGAAACUGGAAAACUUGAGUGCAGAAGAGGAAAGUGGAAUUCCAUGUGUAGCGGUGAAAUGCGCAGAGAUAUGGAGGAACACCAGUGGCGAAGGCGACUUUCUGGUCUGUAACUGACGCUGAUGUGCGAAAGCGUGGGGAUCAAACAGGAUUAGAUACCCUGGUAGUCCACGCCGUAAACGAUGAGUGCUAAGUGUUAGGGGGUUUCCGCCCCUUAGUGCUGCAGCUAACGCAUUAAGCACUCCGCCUGGGGAGUACGACCGCAAGGUUG